AUUGAACGCUGGCGGCAUGCUUUACACAUGCGAGUCGAACGGCAGCGCGGGCUUCGGCCUGGCGGCGAGUGGCGAACGGGUGAGUAAUGCAUCGGAACGUGCCCAGCAGUGGGGGAUAGCCCGGCGAAAGCCGGAUUAAUACCGCAUACGACCUGAGGGUGAAAGCGGGGGACCGAAAGGCCUCGCGCUAUUGGAGCGGCCGAUGUCGGAUUAGCUAGUUGGUGGGGUAAAGGCUUACCAAGGCGACGAUCCGUAGCUGGUCUGAGAGGACGACCAGCCACACUGGGACUGAGACACGGCCCAGACUCCUACGGGAGGCAGCAGUGGGGAAUUUUGGACAAUGGGGGCAACCCUGAUCCAGCCAUGCCGCGUGCGGGAAGAAGGCCUUCGGGUUGUAAACCGCUUCUGUUCGGGAAGAAAUCCUCUGGGCUAAUACCCCGGGGGGAUGACGGUACCGGAAGAAUAAGCACCGGCUAACUACGUG
RNAcentral lists this ribosomal RNA (484 nucleotides) under uncultured bacterium. RNAcentral's name for it is "partial 16S ribosomal RNA". It matches the Rfam family "Bacterial small subunit ribosomal RNA", at positions 28 to 507 of the family's 1533-position model. The record is from RNAcentral.